UCCCGUUUGACACGGGCAGUCCCUUUAGAGUGCCCAACUUAAUGAUGGCAACUAAAGGCAAGGGUUGCGCUCGUUGCGGGACUUAACCCAACAUCUCACGACACGAGCUGACGACAGCCAUGCAACACCUGUGUAGGGCCCUUGCGGACACCGUGUCUCCACGGCUUUUCCCUACAUGUCAAGCCCUGGUAAGGUUCUUCGCGUCGCGUCGAAUUGAACCACAUGCUCCACCGCUUGUGCGGGCCCCCGUCAAUUUCUUUGAGUUUUAGCCUUGCGACCGUACUCCCCAGGCGGUACGCUUAUCAAUUUCUCUACAGUCCGAACGGCGUCAGAGCCGCUCUAACUCAGCGUACAUCGUUUAGGGCGUGGACUAC
This 374-nucleotide unclassified non-coding RNA is filed under the name uncultured bacterium. RNAcentral's name for it is "contains 16S-23S intergenic spacer region". The record is from RNAcentral.